GAUGAACGCUGGCGGCGUGCCUAAUACAUGCAAGUCGAGCGAACAGACGAGGAGCUUGCUCCUCUGACGUUAGCGGCGGACGGGUGAGUAACACGUGGAUAACCUACCUAUAAGACUGGGAUAACUUCGGGAAACCGGAGCUAAUACCGGAUAAUAUAUUGAACCGCAUGGUUCAAUAGUGAAAGACGGUUUUGCUGUCACUUAUAGAUGGAUCCGCGCCGCAUUAGCUAGUUGGUAAGGUAACGGCUUACCAAGGCAACGAUGCGUAGCCGACCUGAGAGGGUGAUCGGCCACACUGGAACUGAGACACGGUCCAGACUCCUACGGGAGGCAGCAGUAGGGAAUCUUCCGCAAUGGGCGAAAGCCUGACGGAGCAACGCCGCGUGAGUGAUGAAGGUCUUCGGAUCGUAAAACUCUGUUAUUAGGGAAGAACAAAUGUGUAAGUAACUAUGCACGUCUUGACGGUACCGAAUCAGAAAGCAACGGCUAACUACGUG
This 497-nucleotide ribosomal RNA is filed under the name uncultured bacterium. RNAcentral's name for it is "partial 16S ribosomal RNA". It matches the Rfam family "Bacterial small subunit ribosomal RNA", at positions 28 to 507 of the family's 1533-position model. The record is from RNAcentral.